GAUGAACGCUGGCGGCGUGCCUAAUACAUGCAAGUCGAGCGAACGGACGAGAAGCUUGCUUCUCUGAUGUUAGCGGCGGACGGGUGAGUAACACGUGGAUAACCUACCUAUAAGACUGGGAUAACUUCGGGAAACCGGAGCUAAUACCGGAUAAUAUUUUGAACCGCAUGGUUCAAAAGUGAAAGACGGUCUUGCUGUCACUUAUAGAUGGAUCCGCGCUGCAUUAGCUAGUUGGUAAGGUAACGGCUUACCAAGGCAACGAUGCAUAGCCGACCUGAGAGGGUGAUCGGCCACACUGGAACUGAGACACGGUCCAGACGCCUACGGGAGGCAGCAGUAGGGAAUCUUCCGCAAUGGGCGAAAGCCUGACGGAGCAACGCCGCGUGAGUGAUGAAGGUCUUCGGAUCGUAAAACUCUGUUAUUAGGGAAGAACAUAUGUGUAAGUAACUGUGCACAUCUUGACGGUACCUAAUCAGAAAGCCACGGCCAACUACGUG
Molecule: ribosomal RNA, 497 nt
Filed under: uncultured bacterium
Lineage: Bacteria
Description: partial 16S ribosomal RNA
Rfam family: Bacterial small subunit ribosomal RNA
Source: RNAcentral